GCCCGAGCUUCCUCCACGCGCCGUGCAGUCUCCACGGCGACGCUGCGUUCCCGACUCGGAGCCCCCAGCUCCGCGCGAGCAGCUAGCCGGGCUGGCUCUCGGUGUGUGCCCUUCGGAUGGUCUGCUGAAGAGGGCCGCCAGCUGGUAAGACACUCCGAGGCAACGACCGGUCUCCCUCUCCCUAGCCCGGUGUGCAGUCUGACCCAGCCCCCACAGCAGACCACCCCCAGACCGGGCGCCCGAGUCUGCGGACCGCUCUACCGCACCUGGUUCUGGCUCUGGGCCCCGGGCCCCGUGGCUGCCAGGGGCCGCCGGGAAGGGAGGAUGCGCGCCACUGGGGUGCGCCUGGCUUGCGGCACCCUCCUCCCGCAGUGGUCGGAAGAGGACUUCUGUAGACAAGACAGAUACUGUAAAGACAGCAAAGAACAAACAGAAUGGCAGAUUGCUAAUGUUUGAUCCAAACGAAAAAGUGAUGAUUGAAUCAAACGAAGCAAUGUCAGAUAAAUGCCUCUUUGGACGCAGACCAAGAUUGACAAGCAAACUUAAUACCUCACCAACACAGGUCUCUGUAAAUGUAGCUAAAACAUUCUCAGAAAAGUAAGUUUUAAUUAAUUUUGUUUUUA
Molecule: long non-coding RNA, 623 nt
Filed under: Homo sapiens (human)
Lineage: Eukaryota; Metazoa; Chordata; Mammalia; Primates; Hominidae
Description: non-protein coding lnc-ERICH2-1:8
Source: RNAcentral